AGUGAACGCUGGCGGUAGGCCUAACACAUGCAAGUCGAACGGCAGCACAGUAAGAGCUUGCUCUUACGGGUGGCGAGUGGCGGACGGGUGAGGAAUACAUCGGAAUCUACUUUUUCGGGGGGGAUAACGCAGGGAAACUUAGGCUAAUACCGCAUACGACCUACGGGUGAAAGCAGGGGAGCUUCGGACCUUGCGCGAUUGAAUGAGCCGAAGUCGGCUUAGCUGGUUGGCGGGGUAAGGGCCGACCAAGGCGACGACGCGAAGCUGGUCUGAGGGGAUGCUCAGCCCCCCUGGAGCUGAGGCGCGGUCGCGCCUCCUCCGGGGGGAGGCAGUGGGAAUGUUGGACAAUGGGCGCAGGCCUGAUCCAGCCAUACCGCGUGGGUGAAGAAGGCCUUCGGGUUGUAAAGCCCUUUUGUUGGGAAAGAAAAGCAGCAGGUUAAUACCCCGCUGUUCUGACGGUACCCAGAGAAUAAGCACCGGCUAACUUCGUG
RNAcentral lists this ribosomal RNA (491 nucleotides) under uncultured bacterium. RNAcentral describes it as "partial 16S ribosomal RNA". It matches the Rfam family "Bacterial small subunit ribosomal RNA", at positions 30 to 507 of the family's 1533-position model. The record is from RNAcentral.